CAGGUUCCCUGGUGCAGGCAGCAGUGACUCAGCCGGCCUCGGUGUCAGCAAACCCAGGAGAAACCGUCAAGAUCACCUGCUCCGGGGGUGGUAGCAGCAGCUACUAUGGCUGUUACUACUAUGGCUGGUACCAGCAGAAGGCACCUGGCAGUGCCCCUGUCACUCUGAUCUAUGACAACACCAACAGACCCUCGAACAUCCCUUCACGAUUCUCCGGCUCCCCAGGCAGAACCACAAGCACAUUAACCAUCACUGGGGUCCAAGUCGAGGACGAGGCUGUCUAUUACUGGGGGAACUGGGAUGACAGCACUGAUGCUGUAUGGUGACGAUGAUUAAUUGGAGGAGAGAGAUAGAACUUAGAACUGUAGGAAGUU
Gallus gallus (chicken) is the source of this 374-nucleotide long non-coding RNA. RefSeq lists it as uncharacterized. Lineage: Eukaryota; Metazoa; Chordata; Aves; Galliformes; Phasianidae. The transcript is spliced from 3 exons. The record is from RefSeq and is a predicted model, not a curated record.